This is a long non-coding RNA of Mastomys coucha (southern multimammate mouse), 1540 nucleotides long. RefSeq lists it as uncharacterized. Lineage: Eukaryota; Metazoa; Chordata; Mammalia; Rodentia; Muridae. The record is from RefSeq and is a predicted model, not a curated record. The transcript is spliced from 4 exons.
GCCGGCCGCGGUCCCGCCCCCGGCCCGAGGGCAGCGCUAGGACAAGGCCUGGGGGGCGGGGGGGAGAGCGAGAUAUCCCGCCCCUGGGGAAGCCUGGGAGAGGGGCGGGCGCGCCGGCCUGGAGGAAAAGCCCCAAGGACCGGGAAGAUGGAGGCGGCCGCAGCGGGCGAAGGGCGGGGACCCUCGCCUCCUCCUGCGGGGUCACCUUGGCCAGGGCCCCGCGGCCCUUGGCAGCCGCGGAGGUGGUAGAAAUGCCUCUCAGAAGGCCCUGAUUUCCCCGCCCAGGCCAGUUCCAGGAACGCGCAAGGCAAAAGGCCUUUUCGAUUCCGACAGGUUCGAGGCCACGCUUCGCUCCUCCUGCUUUGCCUUGUCUUCAGCCUCAGUUGCCCUCCUGGUGAAAUAAGCACAAGGCCUGGCCACAACCAAUCCAGGAUUCCGUUUUCUUGGUGACAGCCGCCUGGACAACCUGGGACCCCUAAUCUGAGCAUCGCCGGGGUCAUCGCACUUGGCGUCAGUAAGUUCAAUGAGCUGGUCCCUGAAAAGUGGAUGUAAGUCACUAACGCUUGCACACAGCAGCCAAGCUGUUUCCCACCUUUUCCUCGGAAGCUCAGACUUGGCGGUCUUUAGUGUUUUCUUUGGGCGAUUCCUGAGUCCACGCCUAGUAUCUUUUUACCUGUCUGCUGUCUGGUGGCAAAUCUCAGUUCAAAAAGACAGCCCUCCCGAUCCAAAGUUGGACUUGAACACAGCAAACGAAAAGGCACUUCCAAGUCAGCAUCUCCAGUAGGUGAAGUGCUGACUCCGGGUUGGAAUUCUGUUUUCAUUAGGGCAUUUGAUGCCUCGGUCUUCGCCAGAGCCACAUCAAGACGUGAGUCUUGAUCACGGGUCCCCAUGCCCAGGCACUGCUCGUGGCACACGUUCCUGGUCUGGUGCGAAGUGACAGUGGGAUGUCUCUGGAAAGGAAACUCAAAGCCCAGUCUGGCAGAGAAGAGGAGGCAAAAGGAAGAAGAUGGAGGCUGCAGAUAGCAGAGGAAGCCUGAAGCCUCAGGCUGCCUCAGUACUUCCAGAGGGAAGGCCAUGAAGUCACAGGUCUGCAGCUUCCAACGGGUUCUAGCAAGAAGGCAGGCUAGACUCUUCUUAGCUUGAGGCAGCUCCUACUUCAUCCCUGAAGAGGUCUCCAAGCAGGUGAUUGGACUCAGAAGCUCACACCGAAGACACAAAAGCUUUUAUCGCCACAACAAGAAGUUAGCACCUCCUGGAGUUUGCUGAAGGAAUGUAGAGUGUCUGGAGAGCAUGCUGUCUCUGAGCUCAGUGACCACCAACUGAGAGAUGGUUCAUUGGGAGGACUUAGCACCUGCUGCUCUUGCAGGCAACCUGUUGUUUCUCAGCAUGCACAGGAUGGCUCACAACCACUGCGACUCCAGUUCCAGGGAAUCUGACUUCCUCUUCUGGCCUCCACAGGCACCAGAUGCACACAGGAUGCACAUGCAGACCAAACAGUCAUUCACAGAAAAUAAAAUGAAAAAAAUCUUUUAAAAACGUA